CGGGUGAGUAACGCGUGAGGAACCUGCCUCAAAGAGGGGGACAACAGUUGGAAACGACUGCUAAUACCGCAUAAGCCCACAGCUCGGCAUCGAGCAGAGGGAAAAGGAGCAAUCCGCUUUGAGAUGGCCUCGCGUCCGAUUAGCUAGUUGGUGAGGUAACGGUCCACCAAGGCGACGAUCGGUAGCCGGACUGAGAGGUUGAACGGCCACAUUGGGACUGAGACACGGCCCAG
This 233-nucleotide ribosomal RNA is filed under the name uncultured bacterium. RNAcentral's name for it is "partial 16S ribosomal RNA". It matches the Rfam family "Bacterial small subunit ribosomal RNA", at positions 103 to 334 of the family's 1533-position model. The record is from RNAcentral.